GCAGGUGGCAGCGAGAGGAGGUAGGGAACUGGUCUGUCUGCCCAAUAUAAAGGAUCAAUACUGGAGGAGGCAGGUGGCAGCGAGAGGAGGUAGGGAACUGGUCUGUCUGCCCAAUAUAAAGGAUCAAUACUGGAGGAGGCAGGUGGCAGCGAGAGGAGGUAG
This is a long non-coding RNA of Oncorhynchus keta (chum salmon), 162 nucleotides long. RefSeq lists it as uncharacterized. The record is from RefSeq and is a predicted model, not a curated record. Lineage: Eukaryota; Metazoa; Chordata; Actinopteri; Salmoniformes; Salmonidae. The transcript has 3 exons.